GUAAGGAAUAUUGCGCAAUGGACGAAAGUCUGACGCAGCGACGCCGCGUGGAUGAUGAAGCUUUUCGGAGUGUAAAAUCCUUUCAGCAGGGAAGAACCGCGAGGGUAGUAACUGACCUUCGCCUGACGGUACCUGCAGAAGAAGUCCCGGCUAACUCCGUGCCAGCAGCCGCGGUAAUACGGGGGGGACGAGCGUUGUUCGGAUUCACUGGGCGUAAAGGGCGUGUAGGCGGACCUUUAAGUCGGGCGUGAAAUCUCGGGGCUUAACCCCGAGCCUGCGUCCGAUACUAUUGGUCUUGAGUAUGUGAGAGGAAAGUGGAAUUCCAGGUGUAGCGGUGGAAUGCGUAGAUAUCUGGAAGAACACCGGUAGCGAAGGCGGCUUUCUGGCACAAUACUGACGCUGAGGCGCGAAGGCCGGGGGAGCAAACAGG
RNAcentral lists this ribosomal RNA (430 nucleotides) under uncultured bacterium. RNAcentral's name for it is "bacterial SSU rRNA". It matches the Rfam family "Bacterial small subunit ribosomal RNA", at positions 354 to 776 of the family's 1533-position model. The record is from RNAcentral.